UACGGAAGGCAGCAGUGGGGAAUAUUGCACAAUGGGCGCAAGCCUGAUGCAGCCAUGCCGCGUGUAUGAAGAAGGCCUUCGGGUUGUAAAGUACUUUCAGUCGUGAGGAAGGUGUUAAGGUUAAUAACCUUAGCAAUUGACGUUAGCGACAGAAGAAGCACCGGCUAACUCCGUGCCAGCAGCCGCGGUAAUACGGAGGGUGCGAGCGUUAAUCGGAAUUACUGGGCGUAAAGGGCACGCAGGCGGUUAAUUAAGUUGGAUGUGAAAUCCCCGGGCUUAACCUGGGAAUGGCAUUCAAGACUGGUUAGCUAGAGUCUUGUAGAGGGGGUAGAAUUCCAUGUGUAGCGGUGAAAUGCGUGAGAUGUGGAGGAAUACCGGUGGCGAAGGCGGCCCCUGGGACAAAGGACUGACGCUCAUGUGCGAAAGCGUGGGGAGCGAAACAGGGAUUAGAUACC
This 455-nucleotide ribosomal RNA is filed under the name uncultured bacterium. RNAcentral describes it as "bacterial SSU rRNA". It matches the Rfam family "Bacterial small subunit ribosomal RNA", at positions 340 to 786 of the family's 1533-position model. The record is from RNAcentral.